This is a long non-coding RNA of Corapipo altera (White-ruffed manakin), 703 nucleotides long. RefSeq lists it as uncharacterized. The record is from RefSeq and is a predicted model, not a curated record. NCBI's taxonomy places the organism in Eukaryota, Metazoa, Chordata, Aves, Passeriformes, Pipridae. The transcript is spliced from 4 exons.
CGGCCCCGGGGCGGCGGCGGCUGAGGGGGAGCCGAGACCCGCCGCGGCUUCAGCGGGGUCCGUUAUCGCGGCCCGGCAGGCGCUUCCCGCCCACGGGAUCGGUCGGGCUGGGAACGGCCGCUGAGGUCAUCGUAGGUCCGACCUGCGGGCGAUCGCCGCCUUGUCAGGGAGCGACGCUCCCUGGCGCUCAGUGUCACUGAGUGCCACGUCCGGGCGUUCCUCGGGCACCUCCAGGGAUGCUCUUGGACAAGCAGAAGCAGAAGGAUUUGACCUCAGUCACUGCACAGGCUACAAAGUGGCCCAGCUGGAGCUGGGGCUUCCAGGGAUCCUCCUGCUCCCUCUGUCCUCAGCACACAGAACUCCCUCAGCCAGUGUCUAGAGUUCCAUUGGUGCAGAUUUCCACAAGCUGUUAACAGAAUACCACAAUCCUUAAGUGAUUUUCUCAACCAGAACAGACAGGAGAUCUUUAAAACGUGGAAUAAAGAACCAAAACAGCCACAGGAAUUUCAUUUUACCUUUGUUUCUUCCCAUCUUUUAUCUCCAAAGUCCUCUGAAUAAACUUCAACAUCUUUUAGCAAGAAGUUGCCAAAAAUUGUACCAGUUCUCUCCUUUGAAGGAAUAUGGGGGGAUAAAACCACCCAGAAAAAAAAACCAGGAAAUCUGUUUUUUUGCAUCCUCAGAUUAUCAGAGUCCCUUGUUUCCU